UUCGAUUCUCGGGCGUCGCAAGAUGAGUUACCCGGUGGCAUGUGUGUGGUGGCUAGCACGUAUUGUCCCCAGAGUUUACCCCCGUUAUCCCGGGCUUUCGGACUGGCCAUGUUGGUAUGGUGCGCGGAUUCCUUAUUCACAAAAAAAUAAAAAUAAAUAAGAGGUUGAAAUAUAUAAAUCUUAAAUAAGUUUAAUCUGUACCGACUCAUUUAUCUAAACGCAGACGGACGCGGUUACUCUCCCUCUUCAACGUCUUCGUUCUCUUCGUUUUCUCGCUUAACCUCCAUCUUCUUCUCCUUCCGCCCGCCGCCGCCGUCGCCAUCGCCACCGUCUUCGCAGUCCGCGGAAAGUAGAGGGAGCGGCGGGGUAGAGAGAGAAUAUUUUCCGGAAAGGGGGCGAUCGAAUUCGCUCGCGGAAAGCGAUUGCGCUUUGAUUGGGCGGAUCUGCGGAUCUAAGCGGCCCUCGACCAGUCGCCCCCACAUGCUCUGUCGCCGUUCCCCGGUCUUUUAGAUCUCCGUCGCUGUCGUCCGGCGCGUUCGGCCGCAAACCUAAACUCCGCGCGUUCGGCAUCAGAUGCUUAGGACUUGCCGGGUAUUUUACUUGCGGUUUCAGAAAGGCUUCGU
RNAcentral lists this long non-coding RNA (623 nucleotides) under Eucalyptus grandis. RNAcentral's name for it is "long non-coding RNA (EGRA_LNC007746)". The record is from RNAcentral. Lineage: Eukaryota; Viridiplantae; Streptophyta; Magnoliopsida; Myrtales; Myrtaceae.